GAGCCCUGCUCUGAAGGAAGUGAAGUUCAUCAGCAGCAGCAGCUGAACGGAGUCUGCAAGGUGUAGUGAAUAAGAGACCUUCAAGAGAGGAACAUCCCUGGUCCUCCACAAUAUCAGGAGUAAAUGAGAUGAGGACAUGAAAAAACACACGCAGAAAGAUGCUGGAGCAGAAACCACAGAGGAGCAAAGAACAAGAGGAAAGAGAGAAACAGAGGACAGAAAUGAAACACAAACCAGUGGAGAGAAAAACAGACAGAAGCUUGUUAGAUGUGACAGUAUGGAGGGAAGAAGGCCAAACUUGUCAGAUGAUCCAGAGGAGCCUGUAAAAAUUUAUUCUGAUCUUUUCAAGAACACAUAACACAUCAGAGCAGACCAGGAACAGAACAACAUCAUCACUGACUCAAUCUGAAACAGACAAGUGAACGGAUCUUUCCCUGAUGACGGAUUACUUUGUGUUUUACUGUGCUGCGGUGGAUGCUGUGCUGAUAUUUUCAUAUUAUGAUUGUUUUCUGGAUAACACAGAAACCUUUGUGUUUUACAAAACUGUGUUUAAUAUUGCACUGCCUUUAAUGUAUAAUGUAUAUAUUUGUAUUACUGUAUAUUUUGGUAUAUUUCUGUAUAACACACUGUACAUCACAUAUGCUGAAAUACUGGAUCACAGAUAUUAUGACACCCGCAGGUAAAUAAAGAAAGAAAAGUGUAGUAAAACACACUAUUUCAGAAAUGUUUCAGUAAUGAUUCCAGGCUUGCCGUGUCAAAGGGUCUUAAAGUUAAAAGUGUGGUAUUACUUGUCAGUGUUCCACUCUUCAUCUAUUGCUCUUUCAUUCAUGUUAUUUUCCACUACACCGUUCCAAUGAUUCCUGCUCACUAAAAUCUGCACAGAUAUAUUCACUUAUCACCUAACAUGCAGUAAUGCUUU
Molecule: long non-coding RNA, 919 nt
Organism: Carassius auratus (goldfish)
Lineage: Eukaryota; Metazoa; Chordata; Actinopteri; Cypriniformes; Cyprinidae
Exons: 4
Source: RefSeq, a predicted model, not a curated record